Molecule: ribosomal RNA, 468 nt
Filed under: uncultured bacterium
Lineage: Bacteria
Description: partial 16S ribosomal RNA
Rfam family: Bacterial small subunit ribosomal RNA
Source: RNAcentral
GAUGAACGCUGGCGGCGUGCUUAACACAUGCAAGUCGAACGGAAAGGCCCUGCUCUUGUGGGGUGCUCGAGUGGCGAACGGGUGAGUAACACGUGAGUAACCUGCCCUUGACUUUGGGGUAACUUCAGGAAACUGGGGCUAAUAUCGGAUAGGAGCUCCUGCUGCAUGGUGGGGGUUGGAAAGAUUCGGCGGUUGGGGAUGGACUCGCGGCUUAUCAGCUUGUUGGUGUGGUAGUGGCUUACCAGGGGUUUGACGGGUAGCCGGCCUGAGAGGGUGACCGGCCACAUGGGGACUGAGAGAGGGACCAGAAGCGUACGGGAGGCAGCGGGGGGGAAUAUGGCGCAAUGGGCGGAAGCCUGAGGCAGCAACGCCGGGUGCGGGAUGAUGGCCUUCGGGGUGUAAACCGCUUUGGCCUGAGACAAAGCGUGAGUGACGGUAAUGGGUAAAGAAGCACCGGCUAACUACGUG